AAGAAACUAACCAGGAUUCCCCUAGUAACGGCGAGUGAAGAGGGAAAAGCCCAGCACCGAAGCCUGUGGCAAUUUUGCUGCUAGGCAAUGUGGUGUUUAGGUCGGCUCGUGGGAUCGCCACUCCACUCGAAGUCCAGCAUUGAGUAUGGUUCCCAGGAAUUGGCCCAUAGAGGGUGAAAGGCCCGUACGAGUGGAUGUGUCAGACAUGUAAGGCGAUUCACCAGGCCGGCCUUAGAGUCGGGUUGUUUGCGAAUGCAGCCCAAAGCGGGUGGUAAACUCCAUCCAAGGCUAAAUACUAGCACGAGUCCGAUAGCGAACAAGUACCGUGAGGGAAAGUUGAAAAGUACUUUGAAAAGAGAGUAAACAGUACGUGAAACCGCAUAGAGGUAAACGGGUGGCGUCAAGCUGCAAGCCCAGAGAAUUCAGUCGGUCAGGGUGUUGUUAUGCGCCCAGCGCAUCUAUCAGUCGGUGUAUAGUUUGGCUAGUCCGCUGGCAAAUGGCGGGCCCAGCUGUCAAAGGCUGGGAUUUGUGUACCGGGAGGUAGCCGGAGCAUGCUAGCCGUCUGUUGGACUGCCUGGCCGAUGCACUUUCUCUGUUGGUGAACACCACGACCGGUGGAACUGCCAGUCUGCUGUAGCCAGCUUCUCCGCGUGCUCUGGUCUCGGCUGGGGCAUGUGGUGAUCACAGACAAUUUCAGUGCACGGUGCUCGUGUGUUUUCCGCAUGCGGGCAUGUUAUCGGGAACUGGUUGUAAACGGGUCUGYCCGUCGACUUGUCUGUAGUCGCGGUUGACGGGUGACCCGGUGGGCUACAGUGGUAUGAAUAACUGUGCAGGGCACCGGAGUUUUCGGUCCGACCGGCAAUGGUCGCUUGCGGCUGUUGCUGCCGGCUGCACGCGCACUACAGUUUAGCGUGUGCUGCUACUGCUGCUUUAGUAGUGUUAGUAGUACGGAUGGCGCUGCUACGGCCUGCCAGUCGUUGGGUCUGAUUGUCGUGUCGCCUGCCAAAAUGGCGGGUCCGGCAGUGGCCUGGCGUUGGAUGGUGCCUGUUGGCGGCGUUGUCAAUGUGCAGCCGGAAUGUGUGCGCGACCUUAUAGUCUGUGGUGUAGUGGUAGACGAGCUACCCGAC
RNAcentral lists this ribosomal RNA (1127 nucleotides) under Atractolytocestus huronensis. Its description in RNAcentral is "partial large subunit ribosomal RNA". Lineage: Eukaryota; Metazoa; Platyhelminthes; Cestoda; Caryophyllidea; Lytocestidae. The record is from RNAcentral.